Molecule: ribosomal RNA, 867 nt
Filed under: Acinetobacter junii
Lineage: Bacteria; Pseudomonadati; Pseudomonadota; Gammaproteobacteria; Moraxellales; Moraxellaceae
Description: bacterial SSU rRNA
Rfam family: Bacterial small subunit ribosomal RNA
Source: RNAcentral
AUGUGAAAUCCCCGAGCUUAACUUGGGAAUUGCAUUCGAUACUGGUUAGCUAGAGUAUGGGAGAGGAUGGUAGAAUUCCAGGUGUAGCGGUGAAAUGCGUAGAGAUCUGGAGGAAUACCGAUGGCGAAGGCAGCCAUCUGGCCUAAUACUGACACUGAGGUGCGAAAGCAUGGGGAGCAAACAGGAUUAGAUACCCUGGUAGUCCAUGCCGUAAACGAUGUCUACUAGCCGUUGGGGGAUUUGAUCCUUUAGUGGCGCAGCUAACGCGAUAAGUAGACCGCCUGGGGAGUACGGUCGCAAGACUAAAACUCAAAUGAAUUGACGGGGGCCCGCACAAGCGGUGGAGCAUGUGGUUUAAUUCGAUGCAACGCGAAGAACCUUACCUGGCCUUGACAUAGUAGAAACUUUCCAGAGAUGGAAAGGUGCCUUCGGGAAUCUACAUACAGGUGCUGCAUGGCUGUCGUCAGCUCGUGUCGUGAGAUGUUGGGUUAAGUCCCGCAACGAGCGCAACCCUUUUCCUUACUUGCCAGCAUUUCGGAUGGGAACUUUAAGGAUACUGCCAGUGACAAACUGGAGGAAGGCGGGGACGACGUCAAGUCAUCAUGGCCCUUACGGCCAGGGCUACACACGUGCUACAAUGGUCGGUACAAAGGGUUGCUACACAGCGAUGUGAUGCUAAUCUCAAAAAGCCGAUCGUAGUCCGGAUCGCAGUCUGCAACUCGACUGCGUGAAGUCGGAAUCGCUAGUAAUCGCGGAUCAGAAUGCCGCGGUGAAUACGUUCCCGGGCCUUGUACACACCGCCCGUCACACCAUGGGAGUUUGUUGCACCAGAAGUAGGUAGUCUAACCGCAAGGAGGACGCUUACCA